GAGGGCAUAGCUCAGUGGUAGAGCAUAUGCUUAGUAUGCAUGAGGUCCUGAGUUCAAUCCCCAGUACCUCCA
RNAcentral lists this transfer RNA (72 nucleotides) under Camelus bactrianus (Bactrian camel). It matches the Rfam family "tRNA". Rfam says of the family: Transfer RNA (tRNA) molecules are approximately 80 nucleotides in length. The record is from Rfam by way of RNAcentral. RNAcentral also lists the same sequence under 1 other name. Lineage: Eukaryota; Metazoa; Chordata; Mammalia; Artiodactyla; Camelidae.